AACGAACGCUGGCGGCGUGCCUAACACAUGCAAGUCGAGCGAGAAAGCCCGCAAGGGUGAGUAAAGCGGCGCACGGGUGCGUAACACGUGGGUAAUCUGCCCUGAAGUCCGGAAUAACUCGCCGAAAGGCGUGCUAAUGCCGGAUAAGACCACGGGAGCCUCGGCUCCUGCGGGAAAAGGUGGCCUCUGUAUACAAGCUAUCACUUCAGGAUGAGCCCGCGGCCCAUCAGCUCGUUGGCGGGGUAAUGGCCCACCAAGGCUACGACGGGUAGCUGGUCUGAGAGGACGAUCAGCCACACUGGAACUGAGACACGGUCCAGACUCCUACGGGAGGCAGCAGUGGGGAAUCUUGCGCAAUGGGCGAAAGCCUGACGCAGCAACGCCGCGUGUGUGAUGAAGGUCUUCGGAUCGUAAAGCACUGUCGCGAGGGACGAAUAAGGGGCGGGUUAACAUCCCGUUCCGAUGACGGUACCUCGAGAGGAAGCACCGGCUAACUCUGUGCCAGCAGCCGCGGUAAUACAGAGGGUGCAAGCGUUGUUCGGAAUUAUUGGGCGUAAAGCGCGUGUAGGCGGCUUUGUAAGUUGGGUGUGAAAGCCCUCGGCUUAACCGAGGAAGUGCGCCCAAAACUGCAUGGCUUGAGUACCGGAGAGGGUGGCGGAAUUCCCGGUGUAGAGGUGAAAUUCGUAGAUAUCGGGAGGAACACCAGCGGCGAAGGCGGCCACCUGGACGGAUACUGACGCUGAGACGCGAAAGCGUGGGGAGCAAACAGGAUUAGAUACCCUGGUAGUCCACGCCGUAAACGAUGAGCGCUAGGUGUUGUGGGUGUUGACCCCUGCAGUGCCGCAGCUAACGCAUUAAGCGCUCCGCCUGGGAAGUACGGCCGCAAGGCUAA
RNAcentral lists this ribosomal RNA (892 nucleotides) under uncultured Anaeromyxobacter sp. RNAcentral's name for it is "bacterial SSU rRNA". It matches the Rfam family "Bacterial small subunit ribosomal RNA", at positions 28 to 897 of the family's 1533-position model. The record is from RNAcentral. Lineage: Bacteria; Pseudomonadati; Myxococcota; Myxococcia; Myxococcales; Anaeromyxobacteraceae.